UCAACGGCCCUUUUCAGGGCCCUGUAAAUAUACUUGUAAAUAGAC
Molecule: non-coding RNA, 45 nt
Organism: Camponotus floridanus (Florida carpenter ant)
Lineage: Eukaryota; Metazoa; Arthropoda; Insecta; Hymenoptera; Formicidae
Source: Rfam